GGGCGUGAGAGUAACUGCUCACGUCGCGACGGUAUCUAACCAGAAAGUCACGGCUAACUACGUGCCAGCAGCCGCGGUAAUACGUAGGUGGCAAGCGUUGUCCGGAUUUAUUGGGCGUAAAGCGAGCGCAGGCGGUCUUCUAAGUCUGAUGUGAAAGCCUUCGGCUUAACCGGAGAAGUGCAUCGGAAACUGGGAAACUUGAGUGCAGAAGAGGACAGUGGAACUCCAUGUGUAGCGGUGAAAUGCGUAGAUAUAUGGAGGAACACCAGUGGCGAAGGCGGCUGUCUAGUCUGUAACUGACGCUGAGGCUCGAAAGCAUGGGUAGCAAACAGGAUUAGAUACCCUGGUAGUCCAUGCCGUAAACGAUGAGUGCUAGGUGUUGGAGGGUUUCCGCCCUUCAGUGCCGCAGCUAACGCAUUAAGCACUCCGCCUGGGGAGUACGACCGCAAGGUUGAAACUCAAAGGAAUUGACGGGGACCCGCACAAGCGGUGGAGCAUGUGGUUUAAUUCGAUGCUACGCGAAGAACCUUACCAGGUCUUGACAUCUUCUGUUAACCUAAGAGAUUAGGUGUCCCCUUCGGGGGCAGAAUGACAGGUGGUGCAUGGUUGUCGUCAGCUCGUGUCGUGAGAUGUUGGGUUAAGUCCCGCAACGAGCGCAACCCUUGUCAUUAGUUGCCAGCAUUAAGUUGGGCACUCUAGUGAGACUGCCGGUGACAAACCGGAGGAAGGUGGGGAUGACGUCAAAUCAUCAUGCCCCUUAUGACCUGGGCUACACACGUGCUACAAUGGACGGUACAACGAGUUGCGAAACCGCGAGGUCAAGCUAAUCUCUUAAAGCCGUUCUCAGUUCGGAUUGCAGGCUGCAACUCGCCUGCAUGAAGUUGGAAUCGCUAGUAAUCGUGGAUCAGCAUGCCACGGUGAAUACGUUCCCGGGUCUUGUACACACCGCCCGUCACACCAUGA
This 963-nucleotide ribosomal RNA is filed under the name Fructilactobacillus fructivorans. Its description in RNAcentral is "bacterial SSU rRNA". It matches the Rfam family "Bacterial small subunit ribosomal RNA", at positions 447 to 1407 of the family's 1533-position model. Lineage: Bacteria; Bacillati; Bacillota; Bacilli; Lactobacillales; Lactobacillaceae. The record is from RNAcentral. RNAcentral also lists the same sequence under 1 other name.